Long non-coding RNA from Anguilla rostrata (American eel), 518 nucleotides. RefSeq lists it as uncharacterized. The record is from RefSeq and is a predicted model, not a curated record. NCBI's taxonomy places the organism in Eukaryota, Metazoa, Chordata, Actinopteri, Anguilliformes, Anguillidae. The transcript is spliced from 2 exons.
CCGCGAGCGUCACCGUCUCCGGGAUGGAACCGGAUCAUCGUAACCGGGGGGAGCAGCGGGACCUUGACUCCGAAGAAGGACCUGUUUUGGACUUCUUGGACUUGGAACCUUAAAAAAAAAAGGACCUAUUUGAGGGGACAAGAGGAUCCCAUGACAGCACAUCGGUCUUUGAUUCCGUCUCAAUGUGGUUUCACUUAACGGAAAAAUCAGCGCCGCCCCGUACACAGCUGAGGCACAAUCUGUUCUGAAGCGCGAGCUUAUUGGUUUACUCUGCUGUAAUCGCACUCUCCGUAUAAGCAGAUACUGUUUACAGGAACUCAUUACGUUUAUUGCUCAGCAUCUGACUUAACGGACGCCCUUAUCCAGCGUGACACGCAGAAACGGAGAACGUCGACGCUCGCCUCGGGGACGCGGACGUGCCCCGAGCAUCGCCAGCGCGGCACAGAAGGCCCAUUUAUAAUCACCGAGCGGAAAGGCAGCCAAACAAAUAAACAUUUGAUGUCGUAAACGAAAGUAAA